GCAAGAGACAUCUCUUCCAGAGAGGAGUCACCCGCAGUCACCAUGCAGCAAUGUCAAUAGCACUAAAGAAAAGUGGAGGUAUUCUCCAUAAGGUUCUGUGAAUCUGCUCACACCGACCUUGGCAAGCACAGCCUGAAGUCAUAUGGGUCCUGUGAGUUGGAAAGGGUAAAUCAAGGAGGGCAAAACCUGGAUUUCAGACUUGUGCUGCUGAAGAGGGGCUGUGCUGGGCUGAGCAGCACCGUGGCUGAGCCAGCAUCCUGCUGCCAGCAGCGGGGGGAAUGGGGUGCCCAGGGAGAGCGAGAGCCUGUCAGCCUGGAGUGGAACUUCUCCAGGGCGCUCCCACAGCCGUGGGGACUUCCUCAGCCAGAGCUCACGCAGUUUUGUUCAGGGACUUUUCCCCUGGGAUUGAUCAACUGCACCUUGAGUGCUGAUAAAUGUUAGCAUCCCCGAUGCCUGGGGCGAUGACCCCGUGCUGGAAGUACCCAGUGGGUGAGGAAGCAGAUCCCGAUCCGUGCUUAUGCUUCCUCAUCUCGCCCCAGGAGAGCCUGUGAACAAGCAUUCCCUAAUAACACAGCUUAUGGUUUUAUUGAUUUUUAUCAUUGUCUCUUUCCCAAGAUAAAGUGACUCAGGUAAAGCAUAUUUUGUACCAAUGGUUAAAGUCUGGGGGUUUGUAAUGUUGGAAUCCAAUGAAAGAAACAGACCAGAAAAAGAACCAUUGUCUCUCUCUGCAACACACUGGAGAAAACUGUUUAUUAGAUAUUUUGUGUAAAUGCUUAAAAUUUUACUAGCCGAAAAAUAAAUCUGAUAAAAAGAAUAUUAAUUAAGCUUUGUUCCUGUUGGUUUUUUUACUUUUUUUUUUUAGGUGGUUUGAAUGAGGAUGAAUUAAAAGCUUUUGAUAAAAACUUGAUGCCAUAUUUCCAGCCAAUAGCAAUAAGACAUAUACCUCCUGAAAUCUUCCAAGCAUUGUCCCCAGAGCAAAUAGCAAACCUGGGCCCUGAGAAUGCCGCCGCCGUCACCAGGUCGCAGCGCAAGCCCCUGGACGCCUGGCAGCUCCGGAGCCUGCAGCAGGCGCGGGAUGGAGCCCAGGGGAGCAGCCCAGGGAUGGAGCAGGGCACGGGCACCGUCGGGGAGCCCCUGCCAACCCCAGCCCCAGGCGGUGCUCCUGGUUUGCGUGGCUUCGGCAUUGUUGUCUGUGCUGUGCUUGCACUGCACCUCCCUUUCUGAAUCCACAACUUAACCUUGAGUGUCCUGUACCUUACAAAGGAGAUGCUAGAGAUAAAGAAUAGUAGAAUCAAGAGGCUCUAGGAUGCCUGAGUGCAAAAUGGUUAAUUGCUUAAAAGCAACACCUUCAUCUGCCAUCAUGAUGUGAAGUAUCCCUUUUCACUACUUUUACCAUUAACAAGUAACACAGGAUCCCUCCAAAUACUUCAGACUAAUUUCAAAACUGGAAAUGGCUUCUCUGUCUCAUGAGAAAAGCACCGAAGGAUGCACUGAGGUGCCAGGGAGGAGCCUAGAUGGUCCAGGGGACAUGGAGUGGUCACUUGGAGCCUGAUGUGUUGUACCCAGUGCUCCGUGCGUUGGUAAUUUGGUCACACUGUUGUAUCCAUCCAUUGGGUUUUCUUCUUACACUGAGUGUAUGUUCCUCGGACAGAGGCUCUUCUCUCUGAGGUAGUAGAAACCGUAGUACAAGUUACUGCUCUUGCAAUAAAAUAGCUUCAUCUCUGGUUGCUGGUUUAAAU
This 1739-nucleotide long non-coding RNA is filed under the name Calidris pugnax (ruff). RNAcentral describes it as "lncRNA (ENSCPUG00000015669.1)". Lineage: Eukaryota; Metazoa; Chordata; Aves; Charadriiformes; Scolopacidae. The record is from RNAcentral.